GGGUUGUGAGGUUAAGCGACGUAAGCGUACACGGUGGAUGCCCUGGCAGUCAGAGGCGAUGAAGGACGUGCUAAUCUGCGAAAAGCGUCGGUAAGGUGAUAUGAACCGUUAUAGCCGGCGAUGUCCGAAUGGGGAAACCCAGUGCAAUUCGUUGCACUAUCGUUAACUGAAUACAUAGGUUAACGAGGCGAACCGGGGGAACUGAAACAUCUAAGUACCCCGAGGAAAAGAAAUCAACCGAGAUUCCCCCAGUAGCGGCGAGCGAACGGGGAGCAGCCCAGAGUCUGAAUCAGCUUGUGUGUUAGUGGAACGGUCUGGAAAGUCCGACGGUACAGGGUGAUAGUCCCGUACACCAAAAUGCACAGGUUGUGAACUCGAAGAGUAGGGCGGGACACGUGGUAUCCUGUCUGAAUAUGGGGGG
Molecule: ribosomal RNA, 421 nt
Filed under: Klebsiella pneumoniae
Lineage: Bacteria; Pseudomonadati; Pseudomonadota; Gammaproteobacteria; Enterobacterales; Enterobacteriaceae
Description: bacterial LSU rRNA
Rfam family: Bacterial large subunit ribosomal RNA
Source: RNAcentral